RNAcentral lists this microRNA (21 nucleotides) under Cordylochernes scorpioides. The record is from RNAcentral. Lineage: Eukaryota; Metazoa; Arthropoda; Arachnida; Pseudoscorpiones; Chernetidae.
AUGGGGAUCAAUGACUAAGCG